GGGGAGUGAAAUAGAACCUGAAACCGUGUACGUACAAGCAGUAGGAGCAGGCUUUGUCCUGUGACUGCGUACCUUUUGUAUAAUGGGUCAGCGACUUAUAUUCAGUGGCAAGGUUAACCAUCUAGGGGAGCCGUAGGGAAACCGAGUCUUAACUGGGCGUUCAGUCUCUGGAUAUAGACCCGAAACCAGGUGAUCUAGCCAUGGGCAGGUUGAAGGUUGAGUAACAUCAACUGGAGGACCGAACCGACUAAUGUUGAAAAAUUAGCGGAUGACUUGUGGCUAGGGGUGAAAGGCCAAUCAAACCUGGAGAUAGCUGGUUCUCCCCGAAAGCUAUUUAGGUAGCGCCUCGGACGAAUACUACUGGGGGUAGAGCACUGUUAAGGCUAGGGGGUCAUCCCGACUUACCAACCCUUUGCAAACUCCGAAUACCAGUAAGUACUAUCCGGGAGUACACACGGCGGGUGCUAACGUCCGUCGUGGAGAGGGAAACAACCCAGACCGCCAGCUAAGGUCCCAAAUUACUACUAAGUGGGAAACGAUAGUGGGAAGGCUCAGACAGCCAGGAUGUUGGCUUAGAAGCAGCCAUCAUUUAAAGAAAGCGUAAUAGCUCACUGGUCGAGUCGGCCUGCGCGGAAGAUGUAACGGGGCUAAGUAGUAAACCGAAGCUGCGGCAAUGUGCUUUUGCACAUUGGGUAGGGGAGCGUUCUGUAAGCGGUUGAAGGUGUGUGGUAACGCAUGCUGGACGUAUCAGAAGUGCGAAUGCUGACAUGAGUAACGAUAAAGGGGGUGAAAAACCUCCUCGCCGGAAGACCAAGGGUUCCUGUCCAACGUUAAUCGGGGCAGGGUAAGUCGACCCCUAAGGCGAGGCCGAAAGGCGUAGUCGAUGGGAAACGGGUUAAUAUUCCCGUACUUCUUACAAUUGCGAUGGGGGGACGGAGAAGGCUAGGUGGGCCUGGCGACGGUUGUCCAGGUUCAAGUGCGUAGGCUUAAGAGUUAGGUAAAUCCGGCUCUUUUUAAGGCUGAGACACGACGUCGAGCAUCUACGGAUGUGAAGUCAUUGAUGCCAUGCUUCCAGGAAAAGCCUCUAAGCUUCAGAUUGUAAGGAAUCGUACCCCAAACCGACACAGGUGGUCGGGUAGAGAAUACCAAGGCGCUUGAGAGAACUCGGGUGAAGGAACUAGGCAAAAUGGUACCGUAACUUCGGGAGAAGGUACGCUCUCGACGGUGAAGUCCCUCGCGGAUGGAGCUAUUGAGAGUCGCAGAUACCAGGUGGCUGCAACUGUUUAUUAAAAACACAGCACUGUGCAAAAUCGUAAGAUGACGUAUACGGUGUGACGCCUGCCCGGUGCCGGAAGGUUAAUUGAUGGGGUUAGACUUCGGUCGAAGCUCUUGAUCGAAGCCCCGGUAAACGGCGGCCGUAACUAUAACGGUCCUAAGGUAGCGAAAUUCCUUGUCGGGUAAGUUCCGACCUGCACGAAUGGCGUAAUGAUGGCCACGCUGUCUCCACCCGAGACUCAGUGAAAUUGAAAUCGCUGUGAAGAUGCAGUGUACCCGCGGCUAGACGGAAAGACCCCGUGAACCUUUACUACAGCUUGGCACUGAACAUUGACCCUACAUGUGUAGGAUAGGUGGGAGGCUUUGAAGCACGUACGCCAGUAUGUGUGGAGCCGUCCUUGAAAUACCACCCUUGUAGUGUUGAUGUUCUAACGUCGACCCCUUAUCGGGGUUGCGGACAGUGCCUGGUGGGUAGUUUGACUGGGGCGGUCUCCUCCCAAAGAGUAACGGAGGAGCACGAAGGUGGGCUAAUCACGGUUGGACAUCGUGAGGUUAGUGCAAUGGCAUAAGCCCGCUUGACUGCGAGAAUGACAAUUCGAGCAGGUGCGAAAGCAGGUCAUAGUGAUCCGGUGGUUCUGAAUGGAAGGGCCAUCGCUCAACGGAUAAAAGGUACUCCGGGGAUAACAGGCUGAUACCGCCCAAGAGUUCAUAUCGACGGCGGUGUUUGGCACCUCGAUGUCGGCUCAUCACAUCCUGGGGCUGAAGUCGGUCCCAAGGGUAUGGCUGUUCGCCAUUUAAAGUGGUACGCGAGCUGGGUUUAGAACGUCGUGAGACAGUUCGGUCCCUAUCUGCCGUGGGCGUUGGAAGAUUGAAGGGGGCUGCUCCUAGUACGAGAGGACCGGAGUGGACGAACCUCUGGUGUUCGGGUUGUGUCGCCAGACGCAUUGCCCGGUAGCUAAGUUCGGAAUCGAUAACCGCUGAAAGCAUCUAAGCGGGAAGCGAGCCCUGAGAUGAGUCUUCCCUGAUACUUUAAGUAUCCUAAAGGGUUGUCGGAGACUACGACGUUGAUAGGCAGGUGUGUAAGUGCUGUGAGGCAUUGAGCUAACUGAUACUAAUUGCCCGUGAGGCUUAACCAUACAACACCUAAGGGGUUU
Molecule: ribosomal RNA, 2429 nt
Filed under: Vibrio parahaemolyticus
Lineage: Bacteria; Pseudomonadati; Pseudomonadota; Gammaproteobacteria; Vibrionales; Vibrionaceae
Description: bacterial LSU rRNA
Rfam family: Bacterial large subunit ribosomal RNA
Source: RNAcentral